GACAGGCAUGGUGACGCGCGCCUGUAGUUCCAGCUGCUCUGGAGGCUGAGGCAGGAUGAUCGCUUGAGCCCAUAGGUUCUGGGCUAUACCCAUUGGGUUUCCACACUAAGUUUGGCAUCAGUAUGGUGACCUUCUGGAGCAGGAGACCACCAGGUUGCCUAAGGAGAAGUGAACUGGCUUAGGUUGGAAACAACAGGUCAAAACUCCUGUGCUGAUCAGUAGUGGGAUUGCGCCUAUGAAUAGCUGUUGCACCAUUGCACUCCAGCGUUGGCAACCUAGCAAGACCCAAUCUCUU
Molecule: non-coding RNA, 295 nt
Organism: Chlorocebus sabaeus (green monkey)
Lineage: Eukaryota; Metazoa; Chordata; Mammalia; Primates; Cercopithecidae
Rfam family: Metazoan signal recognition particle RNA
About the family: The signal recognition particle (SRP) is a universally conserved ribonucleoprotein. It is involved in the co-translational targeting of proteins to membranes.
Source: Rfam